UGGUCUGUUCUAACUUCAAUUUGAACUUGCCCCGUCAGCUCACAGCAUCUGCAUGCAAGUGAGCAGCCUUCUUUUCCUUCUCCUUCUACUGCCAUCCUCUCCUCCUUCUCCAGCCAAAUGUGCUCUGGCCUCACAGAGCCUCCCUCGGUUCCUGAACCAGCAUGAUAUCUGGCUGCUGGGUCAUUGCACAAGUUGUUUCCACAGUCCCAUCAGUGGUUCUUCUGACUCUAGUCCUUACCCAACUGCCAUUCAGGUGGUACCUUGCACCUCUCAACUAAUUGUCCAAAUUUUCCUCUAAAAUACCUUCCCCCCCGCAAAAAAAAAGAUUCCAUGAUCCCCCUACUUGAAAGUCUGGGCUGGUGGGCUGGUUCUCUAUUGCCUACAAAGUAAAUUCCACAUCUCCUGGUGUGCCUCUUUACAAUCUGCUCCUAACUUAUCUCUCCAUUUUCCAUAACUCUAAGCCUCUGCAUGUGAGGUUCCUCCUAGCUAGAAUAUUGGUCCAUCUCUUUUUCAUUUGGCAAACUCUUGUUCAUCCUUCAGAGCCUUACUUGGUUGUUACCUCCUCUGUAAGGACUAUUAUAAUAGUGCUGGUCACCUUUUAAUGAUCUGUUUGCAUGUCUGACUCCAUAAAAUUUCACUUCUUUGAGGACAAUUUGUCUUAUUUAUUUUUGUGUAACCACAUUUCUCAUCAAUACAAAUGAAGCCACAGAUAACCAUAAUCAACUCUCACUGCCCCAUCAUUUUGCCCUGUGUAAAGGACUUGAGGCCCCUCCGUUCCUUCCCCACUGCAGUAAUUGCUGAGAAUCCUGGGGUUGUCUUGCCUGUCCUUCCCAUGUCCUUCUACUUCGUACUCUGGUUUUCCAAGAUUGCCCCUCACCCCGGCCACUGAGAAACAUUGAUUUCUGGUCCACAUUAUUUUCCAGUGAAUGCCACAGGGCAAACCUGUCAAGUGGGAAAAUGACACCCUACUCUCUUCAGUUCUUGCCCUGGUUCUGUGUAGUAAUUUAUCCCCCGGGCACUGAAGCAACAUUGCUUGUGUCUUCCUGUGUUACAAUCUCAUAAAGACCCUCUUUAAACAGCUCCUUGAACUUCUGCUUAGAAUUGUUCUUUCUCUUCAGGCUCCAGUCCUGGUCUAUGAAGCCAGGUUGAGGCAGACGAUAUUUGGUCCUGGUGAAGUCCAGGUUAGUCCUGAUGCCUGGGAGACUACUUAGGCUAUUGGGGGUUGCUGAAAGAAUAAGGACAUGAAUAGAAUCUCUCUCUUUUUUUUUUAUGUGAGUGAUGAUUUCUCAGGUAUAGUUUCCCUUACCUUUACAGGUAGAGUAACAAUACUUAAUACAUAAGGUUAUUGUAAGAAAGCACUGGACAGUAUCUAGGACAUAAUAGGUGCUCAGCAAAUUCUAGUUUAAGCAGUAAUUAUUUGAUAAGAUGUCUGUAAUGUAAAUACAUGCUUGAAUAAAAAGUACAAAGCCAGAAGAGAAAAAGCUCUGGAGAAGAUAGGAACCACAGUGAUAG
This 1512-nucleotide long non-coding RNA is filed under the name Homo sapiens (human). Its description in RNAcentral is "HSALNT0127191". Lineage: Eukaryota; Metazoa; Chordata; Mammalia; Primates; Hominidae. The record is from RNAcentral.